ACUUGAAUUGAAGAGUUUGAUCAUGGCUCAGAUUGAACGCUGGCGGCAGGCUUAACACAUGCAAGUCGAACGGUAGCAGGAGAAAGCUUGCUUUCUUGCUGACGAGUGGCGGACGGGUGAGUAAUGCUUGGGAAUCUGGCCUAUGGAGGGGGGAUAACGACGGGAAACUGUCGCUAAUACCGCGUAUUAUCGGAAGAUGAAAGUGCGGGACUGAGAGGCCGCAUGCCAUAGGAUGAGCCCAAGUGGGAUUAGGUAGUUGGUGGGGUAAAGGCCUACCAAGCCUGCGAUCUCUAGCUGGUCUGAGAGGAUGACCAGCCACACUGGAACUGAGACACGGUCCAGACUCCUACGGGAGGCAGCAGUGGGGAAUAUUGCGCAAUGGGGGGAACCCUGACGCAGCCAUGCCGCGUGAAUGAAGAAGGCCUUAGGGUUGUAAAGUUCUUUCGGUAUUGAGGAAGGUUGAUGUGUUAAUAGCACAUCAAAUUGACGUUAAAUACAGAAGAAGCACCGGCUAACUCCGUGCCAGCAGCCGCGGUAAUACGGAGGGUGCGAGCGUUAAUCGGAAUAACUGGGCGUAAAGGGCACGCAGGCGGUUAUUUAAGUGAGGUGUGAAAGCCCCGGGCUUAACCUGGGAAUUGCAUUUCAGACUGGGUAACUAGAGUACUUUAGGGAGGGGUAGAAUUCCACGUGUAGCGGUGAAAUGCGUAGAGAUGUGGAGGAAUACCGAAGGCGAAGGCAGCCCCUUGGGAAUGUACUGACGCUCAUGUGCGAAAGCGUGGGGAGCAAACAGGAUUAGAUACCCUGGUAGUCCACGCUGUAAACGCUGUCGAUUUGGGGGUUGGGGUUUAACUCUGGCGCCCGUAGCUAACGUGAUAAAUCGACCGCCUGGGGAGUACGGCCGCAAGGUUAAAACUCAAAUGAAUUGACGGGGGCCCGCACAAGCGGUGGAGCAUGUGGUUUAAUUCGAUGCAACGCGAAGAACCUUACCUACUCUUGACAUCCUAAGAAGAGCUCAGAGAUGAGCUUGUGCCUUCGGGAACUUAGAGACAGGUGCUGCAUGGCUGUCGUCAGCUCGUGUUGUGAAAUGUUGGGUUAAGUCCCGCAACGAGCGCAACCCUUAUCCUUUGUUGCCAGCG
RNAcentral lists this ribosomal RNA (1136 nucleotides) under Haemophilus influenzae. RNAcentral describes it as "bacterial SSU rRNA". It matches the Rfam family "Bacterial small subunit ribosomal RNA", at positions 1 to 1123 of the family's 1533-position model. Lineage: Bacteria; Pseudomonadati; Pseudomonadota; Gammaproteobacteria; Pasteurellales; Pasteurellaceae. The record is from RNAcentral.